AACCACAUGGAACUACAUGGUUCUUGGGCACAGGAACCCACAUGGCACCUCCGCCAGGUGGAAGCCACUGGACCUCCCCCCGUGCUGGUGGCAAAGGGCUAGUCAUCCUCUGACAGAGCUCCCACACCUUCCCUGAGCCACACAGCCUGAUGAGUAAAAGCCUGCUCAGGGCUGUAACUAAGCCAGGUCACAGCUUUUCUGGCACACAAGACGCUGAGGGUUUCACUUCCACUUCCAUCUGUGAGACUCAUAGCAAAGCACCUGGACUCUUAUAGGUUCAUUGCCAAUUAAUUUCAUCUGCCCCCAGGGUACAGCCAUGGGCUGACCCUGAACUGGGACUGCCAAAGGAACCCUUCAGAGGCUGCGCUGGGAGGACCUUGGCUGGCCGCUGGCCCCCACCCAGCUGCUGUCUUGUCCUCAAGCUCUGAAAACGUUCCUGGAUGGCUUUUUAGCAGCUUCACAUUUACUCCUGCCUCUAGGGUUGGUUAGGUUUCGAUCAGCCGCACCUUUAGCCAGACUCCCACUCUGGAUGGUGAGGGUGCGCGCGUUAGGCGGAGCUAUCCCCUGCACGUCCGGCGCCGAAAUAAACAAAUACCAGCUUAAUAGCA
Neopelma chrysocephalum (saffron-crested tyrant-manakin) is the source of this 608-nucleotide long non-coding RNA. RefSeq lists it as uncharacterized. NCBI's taxonomy places the organism in Eukaryota, Metazoa, Chordata, Aves, Passeriformes, Pipridae. The transcript has 2 exons. The record is from RefSeq and is a predicted model, not a curated record.